CCUACGGGCGGCUGCAGUGGGGAAUAUUGCACAAUGGGCGCAAGCCUGAUGCAGCCAUGCCGCGUGUGUGAAGAAGGCCUUCGGGUUGUAAAGCACUUUCAGCGGGGAGGAAGGCGGUGAGGUUAAUAACCUCAUCGAUUGACGUUACCCGCAGAAGAAGCACCGGCUAACUCCGUGCCAGCAGCCGCGGUAAUACGGAGGGUGCAAGCGUUAAUCGGAAUUACUGGGCGUAAAGCGCACGCAGGCGGUCUGUCAAGUCGGAUGUGAAAUCCCCGGGCUCAACCUGGGAACUGCAUUCGAAACUGGCAGGCUAGAGUCUUGUAGAGGGGGGUAGAAUUGCAGGUGUAGCGGUGAAAUGCGUAGAGAUCUGGAGGAAUACCGGUGGCGAAGGCGGCCCCCUGGACAAAGACUGACGCUCAGGUGCGAAAGCGUGGGGAGCAAACAGGAUUAGAUACCCGAGUAGUC
This 465-nucleotide ribosomal RNA is filed under the name uncultured Klebsiella sp. RNAcentral's name for it is "bacterial SSU rRNA". It matches the Rfam family "Bacterial small subunit ribosomal RNA", at positions 338 to 795 of the family's 1533-position model. Lineage: Bacteria; Pseudomonadati; Pseudomonadota; Gammaproteobacteria; Enterobacterales; Enterobacteriaceae. The record is from RNAcentral.